RNAcentral lists this ribosomal RNA (915 nucleotides) under Triticum aestivum (bread wheat). Its description in RNAcentral is "partial small subunit ribosomal RNA". The record is from RNAcentral. Lineage: Eukaryota; Viridiplantae; Streptophyta; Magnoliopsida; Poales; Poaceae.
AUGAUUGAUACAAACUUCAGAAUCAUGUCCUGCAACGUGAGGGGACUAAACUCACCGUCAAAGCGCACAGCCGUCUGCGAGGUUGCUCACGCAAAUAAAAUUGCGAUUCUAAACCUAUAGGAAACUAAGAUCGAGUCCUGGACCACGCACAUAGCAGUAGAAGUAGGGGGGCCUUCGCUUCAAGGUUGCGUCGUUCUACCCGCGAUGGGUACUAGAGGCGGUGCCGCCAUCUUCUGGGAUAAGCAACUAGUCAACGUAGUUAUGCACAUGAUUGCUAGCUUCUCCAUUAUGGUUAGGGUAGAGAUCCUCGGCAACAGCGAGUUCUUUUGGAUGACAACUGUCUACGGGCCUUCGGAGGAUGAGCAAAAGGAAAACUUCCUAACUGAAUUAGCCAGCACAGCCCCUCCCCCCUCUAAGCCUUGGAUGCUCAACAUAGAUUUUAACAUGAUAUAUCAGGCGAGGGACAAAAACAACGGACUGAUUAAUAGAAGGAUGAUGGGCCGUUUCCGCCGGGUGAUUGAUCUUGCUGGGGUCAGAGAGGUCAAAUGCAGAAACAAACGGUUUACUUGGAGUAGUGAAAGAGAAUCCCCAACCUUAUGCAGCAUCGACAAGAUUUUUUGUAACUUGGCAUGGGAGGACAUGUUUCCUGAUGUGAUGCUCACGGCGGCUUCAACCUCCUUUUCUGAUCACUGCCCUCUCUUGUUAGCUAAUGGUGCACCCCCGAUCAGGAAGGCUAGGUUCAGGUUUGAGAAUUUUUGGCCGCGAUUUCCACACUUCCAGAAAACGAUGCAACAUGCCUGGGAUCGGCCUGUGAAUCAUGACUGCCCCUUCAUACGCGCCAGGAGGAAGCUACAGAGGGUUGCGACCGACCUGAAAAUCUGGAGCAGAUCACUCUUUGAAGGCACCAAACUGUAG